AAGCCAAUGAUGAUUAAAGUUGUUUUGUUGGAAUUACCGACUGAAUCUUCGUUGAUGUCAAACACAAACUGGCUAUCUGAGGCUUCUA
Malania oleifera is the source of this 88-nucleotide small nucleolar RNA. The record is from RefSeq and is a predicted model, not a curated record. NCBI's taxonomy places the organism in Eukaryota, Viridiplantae, Streptophyta, Magnoliopsida, Santalales, Ximeniaceae.